CCCCGCGGCGGGCGGAGCCCGGCGCCGCGGCCAGGACUGCUUGCCCCGCUCCCGCGACUCCGCGAGGGGUACUUAACCGAAACUAGCAAUCCCAGGCGGUACAAGGCCCUCCAUCGUAGGCAAAGCACUACCUGAAUGUAGAUUUGGGGCCAUACGUUGGAAAAUAAGACAUGAGAGUAUGCUCCAAUCAACCUUUACUGUUUACUGGACAACUAUUUUGGAGUUUCGCUCUUGUUGCCUAAGCUGGAGUGCAAUGGCGCGAUCUGGGUGCACUGCAACCUCCGUCCCCCGGGUUCAAGCGAUUCUCCUGCCUCAGCCUCCCCAAUAGCUGGGAUUACAGACCCAACUAGCCGAGAGUGAAGAGACAGAAAGAAAGCAGAGAGCCUCUCCAUCGGCCCGUGGUGGUGGACUGGAUGAGGGAAGGAGCCUCCUCCUCUACUCGAAGAAGCUUCUUUCAAAAGAUAAGAACUUCAGCACCAUCGGAAAGGUGAAAAAAGAAAAAAAAAAAAAGAAGAAAAAUCAAAAGAAGAGAACUGCCUGCUUUCUACCUGGGGCAGAGAUGUAAGCACAAUUAGACAUCCAAUUUACAAGGCUUUACUUUCAUCAUUUCCUUUAAGUCUCCGCAUAAGCCAGUGAAGAAGGUGGGAGCUGGCAUAAUGUAAUACUUAACCUUUCCAUUUAUGGAGAGUAAACUGUGGGCCAGGUCCUCUAGCAGGAUCACGAAUAUAAAGGUACAUAUAGUGAGGUCCCAGUUCUGAAGGGAGUGACAUGCAUUGUAGUGGGUAUGUAGCAGGGAAAUCGAGACAGGAAAUUGUACAUGAAAUUGCUGUGAGUGUUAGUGUCUAUUUUCAGAAGAGGCCGAGUUUGCAUAAAUGGACUUAAGACUUUGGUCUUGGCAAGAAGAUGGGAGAUUCUGACAUUUUUCAUGCUGUUAAAAUUCUUUGCUAGAUGAUGUUUUAGCAAUUGGCAUAAAUAAUUUCUUCGUAUUCACUUCAUUCUAAAAAGUAUUUGAAGUAUCUUCAAAGGUAAAAUUGCCAAGUAUUUCCCUGGAAAAAUAGAUAUGGGAAGUAUCCAAAUUAUCUAAGAAGUGGUAUCAAGUUUAUAUUGGCAAUGCUGAGUUUAUGUGUGUAUGUAUGUAUGUAUCUAUUAUUUGAGACAGGAUCUUGCUGUAUUGCCCAGGUGGGGGUGUAGUCAUUAAGCAUGAUCAUAGCUCAGUACAGCCUUGAACUUCUGGGGUGAUCCUCCUGCCUAAUCCUUCCAAGUAGCUAGGACUACAGGCAUGUGAUUUUUGUAUUUUUUGUAGAGACAGGGUCUUGCUAUGUUACCCAGGCUGGUCUGGAACUCCUGGCCUCAAGCGAUCCUUCUGCCCUGGCAUCCCAAAGCACUAGGAUUCCAGGUAUGAGCCACCUCACCUGGCUCCUGAAUUCACUUUUUAAUCUUUUUUUUUUUUGAGACAGAGUCUCACUCUGUUGCCCAAGCUGGAGUGCAGUGGCAUGAUGUCGGCUCACUGCAACUUCCUCCUCCCAGGUUCAAGCAAUCCUCCUGCCUCAGCCUCUUGAGUAGCUGGGACCACAUGUGCGCACCACCACACCCAGCUAAUAUUUGUAUUUUUAAUAUAGAUGAGGUUUCACCAUGUUGGCCAGCCUGAUCUCAAACUCCUGACCUCAACUGAUAUGCCCACCUUGGCCUUCCAAAGUGCUGGGAUUACAGGCAUGAGCCACCAUGCCCAGCCCACUUUUUAAUUUUUAAAAUUAACUGUUAAGUAGAUCAAAAGCAUACUUAUAAAAUAUAUGUAAGUCAUGGUUCUCAUUGCUGGGAACCUUAAAAAUUCUGUUAUGAACAAUUUCAAACUUAUACAAAAAUGAAGAGGGUGAAAUAACGAACACCUAUACCUACCAUUCAGCUCCAUCAAUUAUGACCAGCCUUGUCAUAAUUACGAUUAUAAUUUCCUAGGGGUGUGUCUAUAACUUGACAAAACUGACUCAAAAACUAAUGAAAUACCUUAACACUCUUAAAUAAAUUGAAUUCAUGAUUUAAAAAAAACUUUUCUACAUUGUUGAUCAGAGUAUUUAUUAAUAAUUACACUCCUAAUACUAUACAGCUAUAAAAAGGAAUAAGAUCAUGUUCUUCGCAUGGACAUGGAUGAAGCUGGAAGCAAACUAACACAGGAACAGAAAGCCAAACACCACAUGUUCUCACUUUUAAGUAGGAGCUGAAAAAUGAGAUCACAUGAACACAGGGAGGGGAACAACACACACUGGGGCCUGUUGGGGGGUCGAGUCGGAGGAGGGAGUGUAUUAGGAAAGAUAGCUAAUGCAUGUCGGGCUUAAUACCUGGGUGAUGGGUUGAUAGAUGCAGCAAAUCACCAUGGCACACGUUUACCUGUGUAACAAAUCUGCACAUCCUGCACAUGAACCUCAGAACUCAAAAUUAAAAUUAAAAUUAAAAAAAAAUUCCACUCCUCGAUUUAUCAUUUGACCAUGUGCAAGAUGUAUUGUCUAGGUACAUAACACAGGAGGAAUGCACAUUGAAAAGAGAGAUUGUAUGCUUUUAAGUUUCAUUCAAAGUCCUCAAAAAUAUAGCCAAUAAGUCUGAAUGAUUGCAAAAUGACUCCCACAUAUCUGCCAAAAAGACAUAGAAGUAUUCAUAGCAGCAUUUUUCCAACUGUCAAAAAUUGAAAACAACAACACAUAUUUAUUAAUGGUAGGAUAGGUAAAUUGUGGAAUACCAUACAACAAUGAAAAUGAACAAACUAUAACCAUAUCCAACUAUAUGAAUGAUCCUCAUAAAUACAGAGAUCAUCAAAUGAGAGAAGCUCAAUAUAAUAAUAUGUAAAUCUGUGCAACUGCACUUAUAUGAGGUUCAAUAACAGACACAACUAAUUUAUUGUCACUUUGAUUUAAAUGUGUUCCCCAAAAGUUGAUGUGUUGGAAAGUUAAUCCCUUUGCCCUCAUGAGUGGAUUAACAGAUUAUUGAAGGCUCUGCCGUCAUAAAUGGAUUAAUGUCACUGUCACAGGAGUGAGUUUUUUAGUGUGGGAGUGGCUUUGUUAUAAAGGGGAGCUCUCUUUGGCUCCCUUGUUCUUGCCCUCCUGUCACAGGCUGACCCUCGCCAGAUGCGGAUGCCAUACUCUUGGACUUCCCAACCUCCAAAACUGUAAGAAGUACAUUUCUUUUCUUUAUAAGUUAUCCUGUCUGUUGUAUUAUGUUAUAGAAACAGAAAACAGACUAAGACAAUUGUGUUAGGAGUCAAGAUGACUGUUAUCCUUGAGAGGUUAGUGACAGUGAAUGAGCACAAGGGAACUUCAGGGGAUCUUGUCGUGUUCUAUUUUUCUUUUUUAUCUGAAAGCUUAUAUAUAUGUGUGUUCAUUUUGUGAAAAUUCAUUGAACUGUAUCCUUUAUGUGUGUACUUUCUGUAUAUAUACUUCAAUAAAAUUUUGUAUUACAAAGAAUUAAAGU
Long non-coding RNA from Pongo pygmaeus (Bornean orangutan), 3456 nucleotides. RefSeq lists it as uncharacterized. Lineage: Eukaryota; Metazoa; Chordata; Mammalia; Primates; Hominidae. The transcript is spliced from 4 exons. The record is from RefSeq and is a predicted model, not a curated record.